Heterocephalus glaber (naked mole-rat) is the source of this 4147-nucleotide long non-coding RNA. The record is from Ensembl. NCBI's taxonomy places the organism in Eukaryota, Metazoa, Chordata, Mammalia, Rodentia, Bathyergidae.
GGAAGCGAGGCCUCGGCCCAGAAACACUGGGUCUCACUGCCUCACGCCGUGCCAAGCUCUGGGGUCCUGUGACAACUGAACCAUCAGCUCUUCGUGAGGUUUCACUGGCCCAGCUUCAUCUGCAUUUCGACCUUGACGUCUGAUUUGAGCUCCAUUUAUACCAGAGAUGUAAACCAUCCAUCAAAAACUUGGCCUAAGGCAUUCUGAUCUCUCAGGUGUUGUCCGACAAGUGACGGCAGGCUCUGUCACGGGUGGCGCCCGAACAGGGACCUGAAUACGGGGGACCAUAGUGAAGGACACUGCGGAUCGUGAGCUCGGAUAAAUUAAGGGCAGUGAAUGCACUCGGGAGUAGCAAGAUGGGUAUUGGUAACAGCCAGCUGCUUUUUGUACAUAUGCUUAAAAAAAUGCUUCGGUCUCGUGGAGCAAAGGUAGGGCAUCAAUAAUUAUGUAAUUUUUAGAAUUCGUAGAGAAAGUUUGUCCUUGGUUCUCUAAAGAAGGCACAGUAGAUUUAGAAGUAUGGAAUAAGGUGGGGAAGCAACUUCAGGACUAUUACGAUGGUCAUGGACCCACUAAAAUCCCUAUAGAUGCUUUUAGUUUAUGGGCUUUAAUUAGAGAUAGUUUGGAUCCUUGGCAUGAGGGAGAGAGGGUUGAAGGACCCUCCUCAAGUCCUUCCUCGGAGGAGCCUGACAAGGCUGGUGUUCCCAAGGUUGUCCCUCCGCCUCCUAUAGAAGACUCAGGGUGAGGGAGGAAUAGUUCCUAGUAUAAUUGCUGGUCUUGAUCCCCCGCCGGUUGCAGGUCCAAGAUUAAUGAAAAAAACUGACCUUCUUAUAGCCAUGAUUAAACAUCCCCCAGGACCCAGGCCUUUGUCUGUCAAUUCUCGGUGUCUGUCGCCAUUACAAGCUACCCUGCAACAUGCGGUUGACAGAGGGGAAGAUACCCAGGGCUUUCGUUUAGCUUGUCCAGUAUUUGAGGAAGCUGAUGCUCAAGGGAAUAUGGUCAGAAUCCAUCGACCGAUAUCUUUUAAGCAACUUAAAGUGUUAAAAAUGGCAUGUGCGCAAUAUGGCCCUACCGCACCUUUUACUCAGGCUAUGUUAGAAUCGUUGAGCAUGGAGGUGCUGCCUCCCAGAGAUUGGAAACAGCUCGCUAAGGCAUGCCUGUCUAGGGGAGAUUACCUCCUUUGGAAAACAGAAUUUUCCGAGCAGUGUCAAAGAACAGCUGAAUUAAAUCGGGCUAAUAGAAAUGAUACUGAUUAUGACAUGCUGGCAGGAGAAGGGCAAUAUGCGGACCUCGCCAAUCAAUUACUUUGCUCAGAUACAACGGUGCAUACAUGCCCGGACCUGUCCUUGUUAUGUGGGUCACAUUAGGGCUCAUUCUGGGCUUCCCGGACCCCUGGCAAAGGGAAAUUGUGGAUGCUUAUGGAUUGACUGCAGCAGAACAGCUGUGGCAUCCUAAAACUAAAUCAUCACAUGCUCAAGUGAGGUGGAAAGAUCCCCUCACGGGUGUAUGGAGUGGGCCCGACCCGGUAUUAAUAUGGGGACGAGGGCAUGUUUGUGUUUUCCCGCAGGAUGCUGAAGGUGCCAGGUGGCUGCCUGAAAGAUUGGUCCGUUUUGCAGGAAAUUUUCCUGCCCCUUGGGAUGAUCCCGACAACUGUCCUGCUGAUAAAUCUAAUGGUGACGCUUAAUGAGAAGGUUUAUUGGACUUAUGUACCUGAUCCACCUGUUGUACAUCCAACGAGCUGAAAAAAUGGACAAGUAAUGGUAUGGGUGAACAAUACCAGGCUGUUGCAUGAGCCGGCGGCCCCUGACAAGAACAAGUUCCGAUUGUUCAACUAUACGGGAUCAGAAACUGGAACCCCCAUAUGUUUCUUCAAAAUCAACAGAACUGAUUGUAUAAGACUGAGCGCUUGCACCCUGACAGGAAGGCAGGUAGAUCAGUGCAAAGGCGGGAUCACUGGAGUCCAUCUACAUCUACCUGUGGGUAUGGAGACCACUGGUGUAGUGCCUCAGACUUUUAAUGCUCCAAUAAGACUAUUCCAUGGAAGAGAUGUGUGGCGGAUGCCUCCGUGAGAUAUAAUAUUACUGGACUUGAUACUUAUGUUUUGGACUGGUCUGAAAAUUCUUGUCAUCCCAAAAGAAAUGUCAUUGCAUGUGUCAUGUGCUCUUAUGUAUUGCUUGUAAGAAAUAUUAGUGUUCAGAAAAGUUAUGAUUAUUAUAGUGAAAUUUACUUCAAUUGUCAAAUAAGCAAUUGUGUCACCCGAACAGAAAAUCAGAUAAUGGUUUUGCGAAUGCGUUUUUAGAUUUGGAUCUUAUAGAUCUCCAAAAUGCAGAACCCCUAAAAUUUGAUGCAGCCCAGGCUGCACAGGAUUUUAUCGAACAAAUUAGAAAAGUUCUGCCAUCUACAUCUGCAUUUACGUGGUAACUCAUUUCCAUAGUAAUUAUUGGAGGAGGGCUGCCUCUUAGAUGCAUGAUCCUUCCGGUGCUACUGCAGAUGUUUGUGCAUUCUUUAAUGAGGAUGGCUGGAAGUAUUCAUGGUCUAUAAUUACAUGCUACAUCGCCUAAACCCAUGGUGUAAUUCCCUGCAGAGGCUGAUAGUCAAUGACGGUUAAGAGGAGUAUAGGAAAUCACCAACCUAAGACAAAGCAAGAACACUGUGAUGCUCUUGACUCCAUGACAGGUAAGGGAUUUCUUUAUAUUCCUCGCCUAAGACAGGCACAGUCUAUCUGCGUGAUCAAGGGACCUUGAUCAUAAUAUAUAAAACAGGGGGAGAUGUGGAGAGCAGUGUGUGGAGAGCGGUGUUAGCCAAAGAGGCUCCAUUUUGAAUCUUACCCUCCAUUGUAUAGAGCAAGGAGACUAUGUUAUGAGGAACCACGUUCUUGCCAAAUUAGAUUGCCCUGGAACGUGAUGAACGUUCUGUAACCCUGAGAAACAAGGAAGCCCAUGAGGGUGGGGAAUUCCCAAAGAACUAGCAAACAAGGAAGCAGGUGUCUCUGGAUAAGGGUCAUGAUUAACAACCAAACUCACCUGCUGUAUAAAAGAGAGGAGAAAAAUAAACUUGGGCGCUCGGUCUCUGGGAGCCCUCCUGACUCUAUCUCUUUGUCUUUCUUUUUCUUCAUCCUCACUCCCCCAUUCAGGUACUGUUCGACAAGUGACAGCGGGCUCUAUCACCUAUGCCAAUGUCUUCAAGAGUUCUACCUAACUUAUCUUCCAGCAAGUUUAGUGUUUCUGUCUUAAUAUUUACAUCUUUAAUCCACUUUGAUCUUACUUUAGUGCAUGGUGAUAGGUAUGGGUCUAGUUUUAAUCUCUGGCAGGUUGAAAUUCAGUUUUUCCAACAUCAUUUAUUAAAUAGGCUAUCUUUCCUCCAGUGAGGGUGGUUGGCUCCUUUGUCAAAGAUGAGGUGGCUGAGUAUGUCUGGAGUUGUUUCUGCAUCUUCUAAUCUAUUCCACUGAUCCUCAGGUCUGUUUCUUUGCCAGUACCAUGCUGUAUUUAUCACAGUAGCUUUGUAGUAUAGCUUCAAGUUGGGUAUUGUGAUACCCCCAGCCAUGUCUCUGUUGCCCAGAAUUGCUUUUGCUAUUUUAGGUCUCUUCUGGUUCCAAAUGAAUUUUUGGAUUGUUUUCUCUAGUUUUGUGAAGUAUAUUGUUGAAAUUUCAAUCAGCAUUGCAUUCAAUCUAUAUAGUAGUUUUGGAAGUAUGGCCAUUUUCACUGUGUUGGUUCUUCCUACCCAGGAACAAGGGAUGUCUUUCCAUUUUCUUAUAUCCUCCUCGAUCUCCUUUUUCAGGGUGCUGUAGUUUUCAAAGGUCUUUUGCUUCCUUUGUUAGAUUGAUUCCUAGAUAUUUCAUUAUUUUGGAUGCUAUUAUAAAAGGAAUUGUUUCCCUAAUUUCUCUCUCAGUGAGUCUGCUAUUUGUGUAUAAGAAGGCUUUUAUUAAAUUCUUUUAUUGGUACAUUGUAGGUAUACAACACAAUUACAUUUCUCUUUGGGAAUUGUACCUUUACAUAAUGCAUCUUGGUUCUUAUUUUUUCCCCAUUCCUAGCCCUCCCUUCAUGCCCUCCACCCUUCCCUAUUUACAAAGACUUUAUUUCCAUUUUUUCCAUUUCUCAUCAUUUUUCCUUUCCCUUCUUUCCUUUCCCCUGCCCCUCCCACUACCCCUACC